This 253-nucleotide ribosomal RNA is filed under the name uncultured bacterium. RNAcentral describes it as "partial 16S ribosomal RNA". It matches the Rfam family "Bacterial small subunit ribosomal RNA", at positions 524 to 776 of the family's 1533-position model. The record is from RNAcentral.
UACGUAGGGACCAAGCGUUGUCCGGAAUCAUUGGGCGUAAAGAGCGUGUAGGCGGCUUGUUAAGUCUUGCGUGAAAUCUCGGGGCUCAACCCCGAGCGGUCGUGAGAAACUGGCAGGCUAGAGUGCGGGAGAGGAGAGUGGAAUUCCUGGUGUAGCGGUGAAAUGCGUAGAUAUCAGGAGGAACACCUGCGGUGUAGACGGCUUACUGGACCAUAACUGACGCUGAGGCACGAAAGCGUGGGUAGCAAACAGG